GUUUUGAUUUAAUAUUUUAUAGAUUUAAUUUCCCAAAAAUUUGAAAGAAAUUCUUUCAUUUUUUUUUUACAAAAAAAGAAGACUAUGACGUGGGCAAUCAGUUUCUGUAAAGAUUCAGGCUUUUGCCAAUCCCUAAAAAAUUGUUUCGCCAUGCUGCUACAUUGUUUGCAUCACCUUUAGCCAUUGUAGGCUGCACUAAAGAUAAGAUAGAUUCCUUGGUUGAAUUAUUUAAGUCUGCAGAAUCCAGUCCAGUUCGUAGUGUAGACGAGAGUGCGUACGUCUAUGAACUUUCUCCUGAAAGGAUUCAUCCUAUAAAAGUUCCCGUUGGAUUCAAGUUAUGCGAAUUAAAACAAGCUCACGUGGAAAAUAUAUACAAUGCAUGUCCCUAUAGAGACACAUUUGAACAAUACGCAGACUUGAGGCAAUGGAUACGUUAUCAAAUUGAUACGUUACCAACAGUCUGCAUUGAAACUGAGGACGGGCGCCCUGUUGCUUGGGAGAUUCAGCAUGAAUUCGGCGGAAUGGGGAUGCUACAUGUCGAGCCAGAAUACAGAAGCCUCAAACUGGGAAGUGUCGUCACAAGGACACUUGCUCAGAAAUUGGUAAAGGACGGACAAUUAGUUUUUGCGUGUGUAGAUGACAAAAAUGAAACAUCUGUGACUUUCCAUGAAAAUAAUGGCUACAUAUACUUGCCAUUCCAAUAUUCUGUUGCAGUUUACCAUUUGUGACAGUGUGACAAUAUUUGCGUGAUAAAUGUUCAGAUUUGUUGCCAUGGGUUAAUAAAGAACAAAAAUAGUUUAUCAGACCCAUAUCAAAUUAACACACAGUAAUACUUUAUCAGAUUCAUAUCAAAUUGACAGUUCUGCCCAAUUGCAUUUUAAAGAAAAAUUAACUACUCGUGUCCAAUAUAACUCUACACAAAAAUGCCAAAAUUAACCUUUUUUGUAUUGUUGCUAUGGAAAGUUUGCUGUUGCUAUGGAGAUCAAUAAAUAUGAACAAUUGAUUCAUUUUUAAAAUAAAAGAGAGUUAUUUUCUAUUACUUGAAAAGUUGUAUCUACAUUUAAAAAGAUAACAGUUUAUAAGAUUUUUGA
Molecule: long non-coding RNA, 1091 nt
Organism: Saccostrea cuccullata (small rock oyster)
Lineage: Eukaryota; Metazoa; Mollusca; Bivalvia; Ostreida; Ostreidae
Exons: 3
Source: RefSeq, a predicted model, not a curated record